CUAUUAAAGAUCUCAAAGUCAUGGUGCAACAAUGGGCAGAUGAAGAAGACAAAGAGCGAGAACAGUUCGGCUCUCAUUGCAACCGUGGGCGCAACAAUAACAACCAUGACUAGGAUAGAAACCGACACAGCGAUACUCAAAACAACUUUUUGAGUAACCAAAAUCGCAAACGGAAACCUGACAACACCAUUGCUUCCAUGACUAACUCAUGGAAGAAGGGAUCCUGCAAAAACGAUGACGGACCAAGCUUCACCGAACUACUCAAAAAAUA
RNAcentral lists this long non-coding RNA (271 nucleotides) under Setaria viridis. RNAcentral describes it as "long non-coding RNA (SVIR_LNC009046)". The record is from RNAcentral. Lineage: Eukaryota; Viridiplantae; Streptophyta; Magnoliopsida; Poales; Poaceae.